This is a long non-coding RNA of Agrilus planipennis (emerald ash borer), 369 nucleotides long. RefSeq lists it as uncharacterized. The transcript is spliced from 2 exons. The record is from RefSeq and is a predicted model, not a curated record. NCBI's taxonomy places the organism in Eukaryota, Metazoa, Arthropoda, Insecta, Coleoptera, Buprestidae.
GUAUUUCUUUAACAUAAAUAGAAAAACAUUUUAGGACGUUUAUUGAAGGCAUUUCAAAUUGAUUUCAACUGGUAUCGUUUGGCAUCAUGGAUAAACAUAACAGAACAGUGGCCAUUCCGUACAUCCUGGAUAAUAUACCAUUACGAUAUAUCAGAAGACAGUUUGGAUGACAAUACGUCGCUUAAAUCUCUAUAUGACAAAGCCAGGCCAUACAUCCCAUCUUUAAAAGAAACCGAACCAUUGUUGGAGUUGGAUAGAGAUGAACGAAAGUUUGAUAUAUUUUUAUCAUUUCACAAAUCCAGUCUGUUGGUUAGUGAUCUAAAAAUAUUUCUACCUUUUACCAUCAACUUGGAUCCAUAUUUGAAAAAA